GGGCCUAUAGCUCAGUUGGUUAGAGCAAUCGACUCAUAAUCGAUUAGUCCUUGGUUCAAGCCCAAGUAGGCCCACCA
RNAcentral lists this transfer RNA (77 nucleotides) under Candidatus Ruthia magnifica str. Cm (Calyptogena magnifica). RNAcentral describes it as "tRNA-Ile2 (CAT) (tRNA-Ile2-CAT-1-1)". It matches the Rfam family "tRNA". Rfam says of the family: Transfer RNA (tRNA) molecules are approximately 80 nucleotides in length. Lineage: Bacteria; Pseudomonadati; Pseudomonadota; Gammaproteobacteria; Pseudothioglobaceae (SeqCode). The record is from RNAcentral.